RNAcentral lists this microRNA (25 nucleotides) under Schmidtea mediterranea. Its description in RNAcentral is "Sme-Mir-2159_5p (mature (guide))". Lineage: Eukaryota; Metazoa; Platyhelminthes; Tricladida; Dugesiidae. The record is from RNAcentral.
UGCCUUUUCUUUGAGUAGCUGUCCG